Molecule: long non-coding RNA, 2030 nt
Filed under: Sus scrofa (pig)
Lineage: Eukaryota; Metazoa; Chordata; Mammalia; Artiodactyla; Suidae
Description: lncRNA (ENSSSCG00065000488.1)
Source: RNAcentral
GAUGUGUAGAAACACAAUGAACAGGGGGCUGUCCAUUUAAGAUUCCAUUGCAUUGGGUUACACUGGUAGCAAUGAAUCAACUACUUUUAUUUUCUAUGUAUUUCCUAUGGAACUCAUCCUGAGCUAACAAUCCAGAGAAGCCAUCUUUUUCACUUUUCUGCAGAGGGCUCUACUUACUUUGGCUGUUGUGUUUGGGCUUCUAGACCAGCCUUGAUUCCUGGCAUGAAGGCAUAUUUGGCUUCUCUGGUCUCUGCCUCGUAUCCCUUCAGAAUUUCAAAAAAUGAAAGUGAUUUUGAUGUAAUGUGCCCUGUAUAUUUACCCUUUGGGAUAUUUCCUUCCCACUCUUUGGCCCAGAUUUUUGACUCUGUUUGUCCUAAACCACAGCCUCAAGUUUGGACCAUUGCAAAAUAUAAUAAGGUGACUGCAGUUUUCACUGUAGAGGAUAGUGAGUCCGUCAGUCAAGUAGAUUACUUGGGAGUUCAGUUUCUAUGGGAUGGAAGCAGGAAAAGACAGAGAAGAGCAGAGGCACUCAAUCACCUCCUUCAGGGAAAGGAGGAUUGUCAGUCUUCAUUUGGUAUCAGAGAUGCCUUUGAACUUCAGGAAAGCCGCCAUUUUGUUUUUGUUCACUUCUCUAAUGCUUUGUGUCUGCAACAUGAAACACAAGAUAUGUUGCCAUGGAGCUGCUGAUGAGUCACUGAGUCAUGGCUUGCUUUGCUCAAGUGACUGUGGUUUUUAUAACACUGAUACUCAAAUCAGACACCCGUGGAUUCUACUUUUAAAAACUUCAAGGCCCAUCCUAACUCAGAGUACCUCAUCACAAAUUGGAUUGCAGAGAACUCAAAUGAAGAGGACAAGCAAACUCAGGAAUGUGGAGCACCCAUCAUCUGCCAUGGUCAAGGAGAUAAUCUGUGGAGAGAGAGAGAAAACAGAUGGAGAGAGCUGCACACGCAGAGAUCCACGAGGCUCCUGAGAAUAAACAAGAAUCUCUUGGCUUCUCAAGAGCCUUCCAGACUUUCCUCCUUAUGUUUGGGAGUUUUCCUGACUGCCCUCCUUGACCUUGGUCAGCAAGGACACUUAUAAACUUGGCGGUGUGGGGUGUGUGUGUGUGUGUGUGUGUGUAGUGGGGAAGGUCAUGAGAUUUAAGCCAGUUUCUAUUAUUUUUUUUUUGUCUUUUGUCUUUUUAUGGCCACACCCAUGGCAUAUGGAGGUUCCCAGGCUAGGGGUCUAAUUGGAGCUGUAGCUGCUGGCCUACGCCACAGCCACAGCAACACGGGAUCUGAGCUGUGUCUGUGACCUACAGCACAGCUCACAGCAACACUGGAUGCUUAACCCACUGAGCAAGGCCAGGGAUUGAACCCGCAACUUCAUGGUUCCUAGUCGGAUUCAUUAACCAUUGAGCCACAAUGGGAACUCCUGAGUUUCUACUCUUCAUAUACAUAAAGUUCCUAAAGCAUAUUGGUAAUACUUUUCUAUUUUAAUUGAACUUUGGUAUUUACUCUAUCAUUUUCCAAUGGAUGUGGCAUCAACUUAACAUUCUCUAGCCUCUCCUUUCAUUAUUACCUGGCCCCUAAAUAACUUUUGCCCCCACUUCUUGUCCCUCUUCCUCCUUUUGGGGCUCCACCAUCUUUGCCUCUGCUCAGCUAUUUCUUCAACUUCAUCCUUAUUCCUAGAUGUUCUAGGCAAUCUCCUACUCAACUCAAAGCUCAACAAAAUAUCUCUUCCUCUGUAAUGUCUUUCUGAAUAAUUCAGGAAAGAUGAAUCAUUUUGCUGUUUAUAUUCACACAGUAUUUUAUUUGCCUUUAAUAUAUUAUGUUAUCAUUAGUGGUUAAAGUGUUUCCCUCAAGGGUAGAGACUGGGUAUCCCUCUCUAUUACUUAUCUUUUAUCACCAUCAUGUAGGACGGCACCAGGAGGGGAAUAAUAAGUGCUCAGAAAAAAAAAAUAUAUGUUUUGUAUGAAUGGACUCAGGAAAUAUCACAGCAAAUAUGUGUAUGUGAUGUUUUGUGAAUUCUAGAAAUAAAGUAUGUCAUCC